GAAAUAUAUUUAAUUACCCCAAGUCUUUCUUUCCUUGAUUUCUUGUAUUAUAUUUCUAUAUAGCUGGACCAGACAGAAGACUACAGUUCAAUAAGAAGGAAACACAUUCAUUUUCAGUAUUGUUAAUAAAGAAGCUUACCUAAAAGAAGGAAAUCAAAACAAGGAAAUAAAACCUUCAGCUGCAGCUAAGAAUUUGGAGGUUACUGAAGGAGGUUACUUUUUCAAGAGCAGAAGUAAGGAUUCCACUGAAUUUGCUCACCAAAGAUAAGUCAGCAAAGAAAACUUACUGAAGAAUACAGACAGCAUAUCAGCUCCUGCUUUCCAGACAAACUUCCUGGGUCUUGGGAAGAAGAAAGCCUCAGACUAAGAACUCUCUCUGGACUCAGACAGCCUGAAUUCAAAUCCCAUCUCUAUUCUUACUAGUCAUAUGAACACAGGCAAGUCAUUUAACUUCUUUGUGUCUCAGUUUUCUUAUAUAUAAAAUGGGAAUAAUAUAAC
Molecule: long non-coding RNA, 498 nt
Filed under: Pan troglodytes (chimpanzee)
Lineage: Eukaryota; Metazoa; Chordata; Mammalia; Primates; Hominidae
Description: lncRNA (ENSPTRG00000054410.1)
Source: RNAcentral